This 408-nucleotide ribosomal RNA is filed under the name uncultured bacterium. Its description in RNAcentral is "partial 16S ribosomal RNA". It matches the Rfam family "Bacterial small subunit ribosomal RNA", at positions 28 to 526 of the family's 1533-position model. The record is from RNAcentral.
GACGAACGCUGGCGGCGUGCUUAACACAUGCAAGUCGAACGAAGUGGCGAACGGGUGAGAAUAACGUGGGUAAACUGCCCUCCUUUUUGGGAGUAGCCUCGGAAACGGGGACUAAUACCCAAUAAAGGGGGAUGGGCUCUCGGCCUAUCAGCUUGUUGGUGGGGUGAGGGCCUACCAAGGCGGUGCCGGGUAGCCGGCCUGAGAGGGUGCACGGCAACGUGGGGACUGGGAUACGGCCCAGGGUAGUCAGGUGGGCGGCAGUGGGGGAUAUUGCACAAUGGGCGAAAGCCUGAUGCAGCGACGCCGCGUGGGGGAUGAAGGCUUUGGGGUUGUAAAACUCUUUCGGUAUCGAACGGGUAGGUGGAGAAGAAGCGCCGGCUAACUACGUGCCAGCAGCCGCGGUAAUAC